UAGCCGUAAACGAAUACUCGCUAGGUGUCGGCCACGGUGCGACCGUUGUCGGUGCCGUAGGGAAGCCGUGAAGCGAGCCACCUGGGAAGUACGGCCGCAAGGCUGAAACUUAAAGGAAUUGGCGGGGGGAGCACAACAACGGGUGGAGCUUGCGGUUUAAUUGGAUUCAACGCCGGAAAUCUUACCGGGACCGACAGCAACAUGAAGGCCAAGCUGAAGACUUUGCCGGAUUAGCUGAGAGGUGGUGCAUGGCGUAGACGUCU
RNAcentral lists this ribosomal RNA (263 nucleotides) under uncultured archaeon. RNAcentral's name for it is "partial 16S ribosomal RNA". It matches the Rfam family "Archaeal small subunit ribosomal RNA", at positions 748 to 1009 of the family's 1478-position model. The record is from RNAcentral.